This 253-nucleotide ribosomal RNA is filed under the name uncultured bacterium. Its description in RNAcentral is "partial 16S ribosomal RNA". It matches the Rfam family "Bacterial small subunit ribosomal RNA", at positions 524 to 776 of the family's 1533-position model. The record is from RNAcentral.
UACAGAGGGUGCGAGCGUCAAUCGGAAUUACUGGGCGUAAAGGGCGCGUAGGCGGUUAAUUAAGUUAGAGGUGAAAUCCCUAGGCUUAACCUAGGAAUUGCCUAUAAAACUGAUUAGCUAGAGUAGAGUAGAGGGAAGUGGAAUUUCCGGUGUAGCGGUGAAAUGCGUAGAUAUCGGAAAGAACAUCAGUGGCGAAGGCGGCUUCCUGGAUUCAUACUGACGCUGAGGCGCGAAAGCAUGGGUAGCAAACAGG